GCGUGGGAAUCUACCCAAUACUACGGAAUAGCUCCGGGAAACUGGAAUUAAUACCGUAUGUGCCCUACGGGGGAAAGAUUUAUCGGUAUUGGAUGAGCCCGCGUUGGAUUAGCUAGUUGGUGAGGUAAUGGCCCACCAAGGCGACGAUCCAUAGCUGGUCUGAGAGGAUGAUCAGCCACACUGGGACUGAGACACGGCCCAGACUCCUACGGGAGGCAGCAGUGGGGAAUAUUGGACAAUGGGCGCAAGCCUGAUCCAGCAAUGCCGCGUGUGUGAAGAAGGCCCUAGGGUUGUAAAGCA
This 300-nucleotide ribosomal RNA is filed under the name uncultured Devosia sp. RNAcentral's name for it is "bacterial SSU rRNA". It matches the Rfam family "Bacterial small subunit ribosomal RNA", at positions 115 to 432 of the family's 1533-position model. Lineage: Bacteria; Pseudomonadati; Pseudomonadota; Alphaproteobacteria; Hyphomicrobiales; Devosiaceae. The record is from RNAcentral.